Molecule: ribosomal RNA, 772 nt
Filed under: Vreelandella titanicae
Lineage: Bacteria; Pseudomonadati; Pseudomonadota; Gammaproteobacteria; Oceanospirillales; Halomonadaceae
Description: bacterial SSU rRNA
Rfam family: Bacterial small subunit ribosomal RNA
Source: RNAcentral
CGCAUACCCAGGGCGGGAGUCCUACCGUGCGAGUCGAGCGGUAACAGGGGUAGCUUGCUACCCGCUGACGAGCGGCGGACGGGUGAGUAAUGCGUAGGAAUCUGCCCGAUAGUGGGGGAUAACCUGGGGAAACCCAGGCUAAUACCGCAUACGUCCUACGGGAGAAAGGGGGCUCCGGCUCCCGCUAUUGGAUGAGCCUAUGUCGGAUUAGCUAGUUGGUAAGGUAAUGGCUUACCAAGGCAACGAUCCGUAGCUGGUCUGAGAGGAUGAUCAGCCACAUCGGGACUGAGACACGGCCCGAACUCCUACGGGAGGCAGCAGUGGGGAAUAUUGGACAAUGGGGGCAACCCUGAUCCAGCCAUGCCGCGUGUGUGAAGAAGGCCCUCGGGUUGUAAAGCACUUUCAGCGAGGAAGAACGCCUAUCGGUUAAUACCCGGUAGGAAAGACAUCACUCGCAGAAGAAGCACCGGCUAACUCCGUGCCAGCAGCCGCGGUAAUACGGAGGGUGCAAGCGUUAAUCGGAAUUACUGGGCGUAAAGCGCGCGUAGGUGGCUUGAUAAGCCGGUUGUGAAAGCCCCGGGCUCAACCUGGGAACGGCAUCCGGAACUGUCAGGCUAGAGUGCAGGAGAGGAAGGUAGAAUUCCCGGUGUAGCGGUGAAAUGCGUACAGAUCGGGAGGAAUACCAGUGGCGAAGGCGGCCUUCUGGACUGACACUGACACUGAGGUGCGAAAGCGUGGGUACCAAACAGGAUUAAAUCCUCUGGUAUUCAUC